Molecule: long non-coding RNA, 1355 nt
Filed under: Prunus dulcis (almond)
Lineage: Eukaryota; Viridiplantae; Streptophyta; Magnoliopsida; Rosales; Rosaceae
Description: sRNA ncRNA
Source: RNAcentral
GCCAUUUCAUCUUCUACGCUACACUUCAACCCCUACAUCUUCUCUGCACCACAAAACUCAGCCACUUCAUCUUCUCUGCUCUACGAAACUCACCCUUCAUAUGGUUUGUUUUUCUAGUUCGCUCGGUGGCUGCUGGUUCAUCCGGUAAGCACCCUCUGCCUCUUCAUUGUUUUUUCUUGUGCUUUUUGAUUUCUGGGUUUUGAGCAUCGUAUGAAAAACUCAGCCGCUUCAUCUUGGUUAUAUAAUUAUCAAAUGAAUUGCGUAAUGGGUAUAUAAUUACGAAAACUCAGCCCCUGCAUAUAUUUCGCUCGUUGGCCACUGGUUCGUGAGGUGAGCCAGGCUCUACUUCAUAAUUUUCCCCCCCUUUUUGGUUGCUGGUGUUGGAGCCAACGCACAAGAAGCUUUUAAAAGAUUAAUUUGUGAUAAUUAUAUACCAAUUAUGCAAUUCAUUUGGUUUCAAAAAAAAAUUCAAGAAAAAGAGAAGGAAGAAGGUUGAUUUGGCUGAAGCAUACCUCCAGCAUUUUGGUUCAUCAGAAGUUAAUUCCCAUCUUGCCUUUUAAAUUGAUCCUAUUUUCAAGCUAUGUCUUUGGACACUUGGCUACAAAGGCAAUUCUGUGAAUUUUUGGGUGUACAAAGACGUUUUUGGGGUGUGUAUCAAAAGCUAAUCACCCUUAUAUACAUAGGGAUGAAUGCUUUAUUGUUUGUCCACAGAUACACUAUUUAAUGAAUGCUUUAUUGGGUACUAAUAAUUUGGAAUAUGUUAAAUGGUGAAAUGGUUAAGAGUGGUGGUUAGAUGGGGAUGCUGUCCUAAAUGUUGAACAACUGCUUAUGAAUGGAGCCUUGUGUGUUGGUCAAACUGUGUAAAUGCUAUUAUUAUGUUAUAUAUCGAGAGUGCUUGCCUAUGUAGCUCAUGUCUAUGAGUCUAGCUAUUUUCAUUGUCAUAAUACAUUUCAUAUUUAAGCAUUUUGUUUCUUGAAACAUUGUUACUAGUUGUGGGUUUUGUUAUCUAGCCUAAUGUGAGAUUUGUAAUUUCCAGAUACAAUGUGCAGGUUUGCUUAAAACAGAUACCAAAAUGUAAGUGUAGGUGGGUGCGGGUAGUGAGGGAUCUUUGGUGGUUGACAUCUGACUUCUAUUUGAAGUGGUUUAUUCUUUGAGUAAUGAUGCUUGCAGCUUCUGUAAGAGUAUAGUGGCCUGCAUCUAAUAUCAGUAUCUAUAACUUCUAUUUUCACUUUUACAUUUGCAGGUAGAAUUAUGAUUGGAUUAUAUGGUUAGGUUGUACCAAAAACUGUUGGUACGUGUUCAUUUCAUGUUGGUUCGUUUGUGACAAAUGAAAUGGCAAGAGAGCUGUGAAAUAU